Molecule: unclassified non-coding RNA, 246 nt
Filed under: Hevea brasiliensis (rubber tree)
Lineage: Eukaryota; Viridiplantae; Streptophyta; Magnoliopsida; Malpighiales; Euphorbiaceae
Source: RNAcentral
AUUCUCUGCAAGGAUGAGAUAUGAAACGUGUUAAAGAAAACAGGAAAGCACUUGUCAUUGAUUAAAAAGUUUUUAGGAUUUUUUUAUUUUACUUAAGAACUCUUCUUGUCCUGAAAACUUAACUGCCAGGAUUUUAUUUUUAGAAAAUUAUCGCAUCAAAUUCUCAGCCUGGCUUCUUUCUCUCAGUUAGCAUUUCUGGCUUCAUUAUUUAAUGAUUAUUCUGAUAUUGUUGCUGCAAGGAAAAAA